Molecule: long non-coding RNA, 1535 nt
Filed under: Zea mays
Lineage: Eukaryota; Viridiplantae; Streptophyta; Magnoliopsida; Poales; Poaceae
Description: long non-coding RNA (ZMAY_LNC001165)
Source: RNAcentral
AGUUACAAUAUGCAUGAAUCAUUGACAAAUGUUGAAUGUAUAAGUGAUUAAUGAGUGCAAACUAAAGUAAAACCCAUAAUCAUCCUCCGUAGCCAGCAGGUAGCUCAACUAGUUGAAGUGUCUACACCAUAACCUGUCCUACACCGAGGACACGGACCAUUCGAAUGGAUUAUACACUCUGCAGAGGUUGUACGCUGUACCCACACGCACAUCACCGUCCCAAGACGGCUCUGUCAUAGCCAACACCCAACCAUGGCUCAACCUCGCCUAGCCGCCCACAAUCCCCGGGUUCUGACCGCUCAGGUCCCCAACCCAAAACAUAUCUACCUCGGACGACUACCAGGCUAGCCAGUGGGAUUAGGCUAAGGCUUGCCCAUACAAGCUCAUGUGGUCGCACUGGAAAGAAGUUAGGUGAGAUGGCACCCCAACACACAGUCCUUAUGGUUCAUCAGAGCAGCCACCAACCAAAACUAGCAAACCCGAGAUGUCACCAUGACAACUCGGUCGCAAGUCUACCACCACGGUAGCGCAUGCACCAACACUUACCCCACUGCUCUGGUUUCAUUCCCGUCCAGUUUCAUCAAGUGUCAAUGUAUCAAAUAUUUAUGCAAUUAUCAUGCAUCAAGGCAUCAGUCAAAGGUUUCUCUCAUCCACUCAGUAUUAGGUGUAUCAUUUCAUGCCACUCCUAUGUAUAGAAGGUUUUAUAUUUUCCCUCACUUAGGAGCAAACACCAUUAGCGUAAGGGGUCGAUGAGACUUGCCUUCACUCGCGUACUCCUCCUCGACGUCGGGCUCCUGGUCAGCAGGCUCUAGCUGGUCGUCCUCCAGGAUCGGCUCUGUUCCGACAAACGACCGACAUGCGAUGCGGGCAGCCAAACAUCAGACAUACAUAAAAGUUAUAAUAUAUUUUUAGUAAAUAAAUACGUAGGGUUUUAUUUUAGAAAAUUCUUGGUAAAAGAAUUAGAUUAAUUAAAGUCACUAUGUAGGAGUUAUAGGCAUUAUAGCUUGUGAUUAAAUUAAUUACGAAAAUAAAAUAAAAAAAGAAAACGGCUUGGCCCAAGGCUUGGCUUGCUCGUACGAGGCAUUUUAGGCUGGGACUUGGGCUACGGUGGAGUGUGCAGGGGAUUCAGGUUAGCUUCUAAAGAGACAAUACGAAACGUUGAAUACGCUUCACAGGAGUCUUCUUCCUCCCUAUGCUCCCUCACGGCAACCAUUGGGAGCUCAAAUCCAGCCAUGAGAGAGGCAAGUGGGGCUGCUGGGGAGAGGGGAGAAGUGCCUCCAACCUUCAGCAGGCCUAGUCGGGGCGAGAUUUUGGGGAACGGGUCGACGGGCGAGCUGCUGUGUGGGAGGUGCGGCCAUGGUGGGUGGAGCUCGGUGGAGGCUCGGAAUGGCGAGGGGAACGACAAUAGAGCUGGGGGAGGUCAUCGCAGUAGUGGAGGUGGCGCUGACUUGCGGCUCGACUUGCCUCCGAAGGUGCUGCAACAGCAGGACGACGGACGGCGGCGGCGAACCAGCUCGGGAACGGAGGACUGGUGG